Molecule: ribosomal RNA, 570 nt
Filed under: Bipolaris sp. TEJ16
Lineage: Eukaryota; Fungi; Ascomycota; Dothideomycetes; Pleosporales; Pleosporaceae
Description: eukaryotic LSU rRNA
Rfam family: 5.8S ribosomal RNA (bases 177-330)
Source: RNAcentral
AAGGGAGGCGGGCGAGGGGAGCAGCGGGGCGACGCAGGCGGCUGAAAAAUUUUUUCACCCAUGUCUUUUGCGCACUUGUUGUUUCCUGGGCGGGUUCGCCCGCCACCAGGACCAAACCAUAAACCUUUUUCUUAUGCAGUUUCCAUCAGCGUCAGUAAAAACAAUGUAAUAAUUACAACUUUCAACAACGGAUCUCUUGGUUCUGGCAUCGAUGAAGAACGCAGCGAAAUGCGAUACGUAGUGUGAAUUGCAGAAUUCAGUGAAUCAUCGAAUCUUUGAACGCACAUUGCGCCCUUUGGUAUUCCAAAGGGCAUGCCUGUUCGAGCGUCAUUUGUACCUUCAAGCUUUGCUUGGUGUUGGGCGUUUUUGUCUCCCUCUUUCUGGGAGACUCGCCUUAAAACGAUUGGCAGCCGGCCUACUGGUUUCGGAGCGCAGCACAUUUUUUGCGCUUUGUAUCAGGAGAAAAGGACGGUACUCCAUCAAAACUUUUACAAUUUUAACUUUUGACCUCCGAUCAGGUAAGGAUACCCGCUGAACUUCCCCCUUUCUUUUGCUAGAGGAAAAACCCGA